This is a long non-coding RNA of Lutra lutra (Eurasian river otter), 3018 nucleotides long. RefSeq lists it as uncharacterized. The transcript has 3 exons. NCBI's taxonomy places the organism in Eukaryota, Metazoa, Chordata, Mammalia, Carnivora, Mustelidae. The record is from RefSeq and is a predicted model, not a curated record.
GAGAACUAACUUAAGUUGGGCGGGCUCUUACUCCCGGGCUCUUAGGGACAAGCCCUACUGAGUAGUAAAACAGCAACACCCGACCUCUGUGAAUCAAAGGGUGUUCUGUCAAGCAAGGGGCACGGAAGCUGCUCGUUUUCAUUUUCCGUUAGGAUUUGUCUCAUUCGGCUUCAGGAAGACAGACCAGGGAGGCCUGGGACGGGCGAACUGCUGUCGCCCGCACUGCCUGGCUCUCCGCAGGGCAGGGCGCCGCGGGGGACAGAACCUCUGGGGGACCCUGAGCUCCGGCACUCUCCGAGCUGCUGCGCAAUCUCCAAUGUACAGAACUGUGUUCUGGCGGGUUUCUAAUGUCGAAACAUCUUAACAUUUAAAUGAAGUGAAUUGCAACAAUUGCUUUUCCCUGAACAGAGCAGGUGCGAUCCUCUCUGUUUUCUCUCGUUAUUUCAUGGGCAUAUAAUAGAAAAGCACCAUUUGGCCAAGUACGUCCCCCGCCCCCCGUUGGCAAAGUUACAAACACGGACUUCUCCCCCUUGCUCUCUGCAGGCUCCGCGUCCCCUCCUUGCCUGCCCGCGGGUCCUCUUCUCCUUCCCAGCGUGUUUUGCCAUCCCCACUUCUGUCUUUGCUCUUCCACUUUCUCUCCCUUUUGAACAUUUUUACGCGCACACACUGCUUAUCAGCUUCUACGCGCCCAACUUGAAUACGUGCUUGCCCUGGCUUUACAGUCAGGAAAGGGGGAGGGGGGCACGAAAAAGUACAGAAGAGGAAGGGAGAGAAACAAGAUUUAUAAAACAGAUGUCUUGAUCUGCACCUGCCCAAAACUUAAGAUGGAAAUUAGGCCACCAGGAGGUGAGCUGGGGAGGGGGAAGCGAUGCAAGCCUAGUGGGCCGCUUCCCUUCAAUUUCUCUGCCCCCAAUGCCGGACUCCUAUAUCAUGUUGUAGGAAUUUCUAAUCUUACCAUAGCCCAUGACUCAUACCGACUGACUGGCUCGAUAGGCUUCUGCAAAACACCUGGGAAGAUAAACCUGACCCAGAAAACAAUCUCUCGCUCCAGGUUAGCCUUUCAAGGAUAUACAAACCACAGAAUUCCGAUGACUCACCCCAAAAUAGCUUAUGAAUAUGCCAGGGGCGGAAGGGCAUGCUGUUUGGUUCUCUAAAACUUCCUGCCAAACUGAAGAAACUGAACAUACACAGAUAUUUGGGGACUAACUCAAUAGACUACCCUUUGUCUUGAAAUUUUGUGAGUGAUUUCAAUCCUGAGUUGAAACCAAGGGCUCAAAGGACCUGAGAAACCAUACUUCCUACCCACAAUAGACGUCAUUUCCAAAAAUGAGAGCAAAAGCACCUACAUGACCUUUUCACUCCCCGCGUUUCUUGAAACACCACAAAAGAAUGAAUAGGAACGUUCUGUGGUUUGGGAUGGGAGCCUGGACAGGUAUGGCCUCUCACAGCAACUUGCACACGGUCCCAGAAAAAUGCCAAACAGAACUCUGCUAGGGGACUUCGGGGAGCACUGCGAUUCAGACUGAUGCCCCCCGGUCCUAUCAGACCAAAGAUCAGUUGGAGAUGCUUCAGGGUUGCACGUGUUUGCUGGCCCAGAACCUUCAGUGCGUCAUGGCCUCACCUGACACUGACUCAUCGUUGGAUGGAAAGCCAAAGCCUAAUUGUGUUGGUCAUAUGUAGCUUCCCACUUGCAGCCAAGUGUUCCAACCCCUUGCAGAAAAAUUUCACCUUGCUUUCCCACUACACCCUCAGAUAUUUCUAAGGCAAUAGACACCGCAGACUUCUGAAUUCCCUUGCCACCCUGAGUCUGCUUCUGUCUCUUCUGAUGGCUCCCCUCCCCCAUCAGGGCCCACCUUGGCACCAAACCUGAUGAAGAAGCUGGAGGGGGUUGGGGCUCCUCCCUGUGGGCUCUCAAUAAAUAUGCAUCCAACUCGGUUGGGUCACUCUCAGAGAUAAGAGGCAGCCCGGAUGACCAGAUUUCCUAAAUACAUCUGAAAACCCAUUACCUGGGGCCAGGGUGACAGGAGAUUUUUUCUUUACAGAAAAAAAAUUUUCUCAAAUGCACAGCGGUAAGCCUCAAUACAGAUACUGUGUCUUACUUGAGCUUUAUAAAAAAUUCAACAUGUCUGGCACAGGAGCUUAAGACUCCAAGGCAGAAAAUCUAAAUCGGUAACAAAAUUCUCCCGAAGUAAUAGGUGGUUCACAGACAUCAAAGAGUCAAACCCAACAUGAAAUAUGUAUUGGACAAAAAUAGCAUAGAGCCAGCUCUUGUUUCUUGAUAUCUCAGGCUGUAUGUUUUCCCAUCUACCCUGGCAGAUUCCUUAUCAGUUUGUGUACACACCGUGCUUGCAAAGUGCUAGAAACAUAUGUAUUUUGGAUUUUUUUUGUUAUAGAAAUAAAGAAUGGAUGGAUGUGAGAUUAGUAAGAAAUAAAGAGAAGAAAGGAAAAGGGAAAGAAAAAAGAAAGACUAAACCUGUGGCGAAUCAACAUUUACGCUAUGAGCAUAAGCACUUAGUGUUAUUUUUGUGUGACUUAACACCCUAAUUCUAAAAAUGAGCCUCUGAAGCCCGAUUCUGCGUACAGCGGGCUGGGUGGGUAGGAAUGUAACACCCAGCCCUUGAAAUCAAAAGAAAAAAUUGGGGAAAGAAAGUUUCACAGCACUGUUAAAAAGAAUACCCAGGUUAUUCAAGAUAAAAAUACUGAACAUGUGGUAGGAUCAAACAAAUAUCAUUUACCAAAGACGGGCAUAGUCAAUACUUCUACAACUCGAGAAGGCAAGAGAGGCUCUGGUGGGUAAGAGCACACACAAAAAAUACCUAUGUAAACAAAAGUAGGUGGGCCUCAAAGAAUUUAGGAGACUUAAACAAAACAGAAAAAAGAGAAUUUUAGGGACCAAACUGGGAUUGGUGUUUUCUAGGCGUAUGCAUGUGAGAUGACUGAAAUGAAUACAAGCCACCACAAGGGAAUGAGGAGGAGAUAGAACUAGAACCAUCCCUCUCCCUUCCUGGAGAAAUCAGC